CUUUUUUACCCGAAUAAAUGUCAACACUGGGACAUUUUGUACAACAAGAACUGAAUCUAAAGCCAAUAUUGAACUCGUGGGUUCCAUACGCAAGCUAGCUACCAACGUCAAAUUUGUUGAUGCUAAAAUCAAUCACCACCACAAGAACACAAUAAAGUUCUCCAAAUGGUUGCUCGAGGAAGAGCUCGCUGCUGAACCCGACCACAUUUACCGCUGGGAGCAGCUAACCACUAGUUUGUAGAUGGACUUAGCGACGUCAGCAGCCGCCAUCUCGCACCUGAGAAUCAAACCAAAUAUUCAGGCGAAUAAAUAAGUGCACAAGAGAUAUUUAUUUAGCAAGACAUUUUUGCGGAACAGGCAAACAAAGUUUUUCAAUGAACCUUUUAAGGUUUAUGCGUUCGAACUUGCAAACUUUCCGGACUAGUACUUACCUCGCUUGUAUUUUUUCACUUCACGAUGGGAUCAGAAGUGCACAACAUAUACAAACAUUAGCACAAGGAUCAAUUGGGGCAAACAACAGAACACAAAAUUAACUGAAGUUUUUGUCAACAUGGUUUGAUACAUAUUCAGUCCAUAUCUUGAUAAUAGCAUCAGACUUAAUAUACCCAGAAUGCAUCUUUGCAUCUUCCUUGUCAGUCCAUUUCAUGCACUAUGAACAGAGGAAGGAAGGAUCAGCAAGUUCAAUGUGUUCAAGCACUAAGGAUCCAUGAAGUUCAAAACUAGAGGAAAGGCUCUGACCUGCACCAAGUGCAGUAGCCGAGCCACACUGCAGCUAGAGAAUGACGACAUGCUUGAAUAGACAUCGCUGGUGGGAACUAGCAGGAUCCAGGUCGCUGCUGCGAUGAACCGCCUGCGGAGGUGGCGUUCUACGGCCUGCGGGGGGUGGCUGUGAUCAGCCAGGGCGCUCCUAAAGACAUGACAACAUAAAAAAAAAUGUUUGUGUUACAAGAGAUAAUAUAAGCAAGGAUGCAUUUCAGUCAUACAAACAAAUGAAAAGAAAUUCAGCCAUACAAGCCUAAUGAGUUAUUGUUAUUUGUAUGGCCCAGAAAGAAAUGAAUCACAUGUAAUUUCCAGAAAGGAAAGAACAUUUUUGAACUCUUUCGCAAGUAUAUGUGAUAAAUAGAUACAACGUAUCCUAAGAAAUGAAUCACAUAGGCUUUUGUUGGUGAGCCCUCCUGUUUCCCUGAUUUGAACGUUCACAAGAUUUCCUCUGAGUAUAAAAAAAACAAGAAAUAGAGUGUUCUGUUCACAUAGGCAUUACUCGUUAGAAGAAACACCUAUCAAGCAUCGUUUUUGCAACCAGAUAAACAUGACUUUUGCUUCUUUUUGUACGAAACUACUUUUUGGAAAAGGAAAUUUUUUAUGCAAGAGUAGUGUCACUGGUUCAUCCAUGCAAGGAAUAAAUUCACUUUUUAAUAGCACUACCUGGUAGCAUAUGUGUGUGUGUGCGCAUGUGAUUUAAUCAAUUAGUGAUGAUGGACAACAUCCCUAUGUACCGUGCUUCCCAUUUUGAACACACACAUUUUUUUAACACACACAUUGAACUGUUUCAGGGGGUUCUUAAUGAGCUGAUGAUAGAAAACAUGUUGAACUGAAAUUUGGACUUCCAGGACUACCGAAUGUUUUGGGUUCUUUUAUGAACUUUUUUGUUAUUUUUUCUUAACUGAAAACCAAAAUUACAAUCACAAUACACACAUGUACUACAAAACAAUGUGUGUUUGUACUGUCCAUGUAAACGAAUUAACCAAAAACAAAUAAUUUAUGAAGGAAACCAUGUUUAUGUUGCACAGUACACCAUGUUUAUGUUGCUCAGUGCACCAUGUGAUGCAACUACAAACUCUUUUUCUCUCUGAAAAAGCAAGAUUCGCAAAUGACCUACAUUUGUAGCAUCAGUACAUACUUGUCAUGAACUGACAAAAUUACUCAAGUAGACCAAAUUCGAACUAGAUUAGAAGAAAUUCUACAGAGCAUCAUUUCUAGCAUCAUAACAUACUUGUCCUUUUACGGACUGAUGGUAGAUAUACAAGGUGAACUGCUAUACCACCUACAUGGCAUCAUUUUUCUACGAGAAAAGACAAUUCAUCUUUACCAUUUUCGUUAUAUAUCACAUUUUGAACAAGCAUCUUGAACUUUUGCUAAGCAAGCACAACAUCAACACAUCUAAAUGCCUCAGUAAACUAGAGUCACUCAGCCCCCAAAUCAAUUUUUUUACAAAGGCAGAACAAAAGGAGAGGAAAGCUUCUGACCUCUGUGUUGUUGAACGUCGUCGAACGGCCUUGGUUGGUAGUGGCGAACGGACUAGUGUGGCGGCAGUGGACCGUGCGGCCACUGUGGCGGGGGCGCGCUGGGGGAGGGAGCAGGG
Molecule: long non-coding RNA, 2362 nt
Filed under: Triticum aestivum (bread wheat)
Lineage: Eukaryota; Viridiplantae; Streptophyta; Magnoliopsida; Poales; Poaceae
Description: long non-coding RNA (TAES_LNC024347)
Source: RNAcentral